This 465-nucleotide ribosomal RNA is filed under the name Vreelandella stevensii. Its description in RNAcentral is "partial 16S ribosomal RNA". It matches the Rfam family "Bacterial small subunit ribosomal RNA", at positions 338 to 795 of the family's 1533-position model. The record is from RNAcentral. Lineage: Bacteria; Pseudomonadati; Pseudomonadota; Gammaproteobacteria; Oceanospirillales; Halomonadaceae.
CCUACGGGCGGCAGCAGUGGGGAAUAUUGGACAAUGGGGGCAACCCUGAUCCAGCCAUGCCGCGUGUGUGAAGAAGGCCCUCGGGUUGUAGAGCACUUUCAGUGAGGAAGAACGCCUGGUGGUUAAUACCCAUCAGGAAAGACAUCACUCACAGAAGAAGCACCGGCUAACUCCGUGCCAGCAGCCGCGGUAAUACGGAGGGUGCGAGCGUUAAUCGGAAUUACUGGGCGUAAAGCGCGCGUAGGUGGCUUGAUAAGCCGGUUGUGAAAGCCCCGGGCUCAACCUGGGAACGGCAUCCGGAACUGUCAAGCUAGAGUGCAGGAGAGGAAGGUAGAAUUCCCGGUGUAGCGGUGAAAUGCGUAGAGAUCGGGAGGAAUACCAGUGGCGAAGGUGGCCUUCUGGACUGACACUGACACUGAGGUGCGAAAGCGUGGGUAGCAAACAGGAUUAGAUACCCGAGUAGUC